RNAcentral lists this ribosomal RNA (436 nucleotides) under uncultured bacterium. Its description in RNAcentral is "partial 16S ribosomal RNA". It matches the Rfam family "Bacterial small subunit ribosomal RNA", at positions 29 to 507 of the family's 1533-position model. The record is from RNAcentral.
GCGAACGCUGGCGGCAGGCUUAACACCUGCAAGUCGAGCGGGCAUCCUUGUGGUGUCAGCGGCAGACGGGUGAGUAACGCGUGGGAACGUGCCCUUCGGUUCGGAAUAACUCAGGGAAACUUGAGCUAAUACCGGAUACGUGCGAGAGCAGAAAGGUUUAUCUGCCGAAGGAUCGGCCCGCGUCUGAUUAGCUAGUUGGUGAGGUUAUGGCUCACCAAGGCGACGAUCAGUAGCUGGUCUGAGAGGAUGAUCAGCCACACUGGGACUGAGACACGGCCCAGACUCCUACGGGAGGCAGCAGUGGGGAAUAUUGGACAAUGGGGGCAACCCUGAUCCAGCCAUGCCGCGUGAGUGAUGACGGCCUUAGGGUUGUAAAGCUCUUUUCUCCGGGACGAUAAUGACGGUACCGGAGGAAUAAGCCCCGGCUAACUUCGUG